Podarcis lilfordi (Lilford's wall lizard) is the source of this 4688-nucleotide non-coding RNA. The record is from the annotation of a GenBank genome assembly. NCBI's taxonomy places the organism in Eukaryota, Metazoa, Chordata, Lepidosauria, Squamata, Lacertidae.
CCCAAGAGGCUCAGUGGUUUAGACCACAGCACCACUUGCAUCUCAUGGGGUGGGCUAGGGAUAACCUGUCAGGCAGGCAUAGUCUCUCCUGCUCUACUAAUGAUCCUGCAUUCUUCUCCAAGAGGGAGGGAAACUGCCAACUUUCUGCAGGCAUCUGCUAUGCACCCAGCCGUCCAUACAGAGCUCAGACCCAGAGUUUCCUCAUCUGGCUUCCUCUCCCAGAGAUGAUCAGGGGGGAAGGAAUUUGCUUUCCCAUGUUAAUUUUUAUAUGCAAGUGGUGUUUUACUACUACUACUACUACUACUACUGUUAAAAACUUGUGCAAAAGCACAAAGGAAUUCGGGUUUGUGGAAGGGGGAGUUGAUUCAUUCGCUGAAGAAGAGCACUUUUACCACCUUUAAAAAAAACUUUUCAGAUUUUAAGUGCAUAUUUAUUUUGCAAAGUGAGGAUGUUAGCAGUGGGAUGUGGGUGAUGUUGAAGAGAAAACACUAAUUUGAUUGAAACUCAAGCAGCUUCAAAUACACAUUCAGCGCUGGAGUGGGCAAGCCCUGUAUUGCAGCUGUUCUCCAUUUUGCUUUUAUCAUCACGUUUAAAACCUGCUGUCUUGUACUGCAUACCUUCACUGUCACCAUUUCUCCACUAAUUGUAUCCUCAGAGUAAGUAGCAGUUUUCUUGGGGUGGGGAGCUGGGGGUGAUUUCCAGCUGGAAAAUUAUGUGAGGUGGGGGGAAGAGUUAAAAGGGCCCUCCAUCUAGUUUCUCCCUAUGCCUGCAUUUUGAAAGAGAGAGGGGAGGAAAGUAAUCAUGGAGAAUCCAUUCAUUUCAAUGGGUCUACUCUUAGAACUUAGUUGUCUACAACCCUUAGACUAAAAAUGAUGUACUCAUUACAUGCUGCAUACCUGUGUUUGUGAAUAUUUUUAUUCAGUCGAUGCAUUUGCAUCCAAUUUAAAACUGGGAUGGAUCUGAUAAAUAUUGGAUUUCCCUAUGAAUAUUAUUUUAGCUCUGUACUGUUGGCACUGCUUCCCCGCUCUCCACCACCAAUUUGUUUGUCCAGCUUUUGUGUGAGCAACUAUUGAUAACACCAUCAGUUUGUUCAGUGGUCCAAAAGAGCUUAAAACAAAAUGAAUCACAGGAGUUUAUUACUCAGCAAGAACCUAGUCACAUUGUUAUUACUGUACCAAAGCAAUCAAUGUCAGUAACAUUGUCAUCUGAAGUACACAGCAUGUUCGCAGUAACAAAAACAUGUAGCAUGUUCUCUUUAUAGAUAGUAAACAGAGAAAUUAACAGCCAGCAUCCUUGUUCAAUGAUGUAGAGGAAUUUUACACUCAAUUCCAUUCUAUGACAUCUGUGAUUUGCUUUGCUUAGUGCUGGCCACUGUUUGGAGUACAUGUGAUGUCCAAAAACCCUAAUUCAAAUAACAAUAGUGUCUUGGAUUUCAUCUACAGUAUUCUGAGUGUGAGUUUUUCAUCUCUUGUGAAAGUACCAUAAAAAAUUCCAUUAGGGAUGAGCCAAAACUCCUUACCUUUUCUGUUCCAUCUCAGGAGCAGCUCCAAUUUUUGGCAACCCCUAAUCUUUAUGUUUUUGGAACCAUAUGUUCAAGCUAGUGGAGUUUUGGUGGAGGGCAAAAUGAAAUCAUUUCUGCUCUGCCAAAACUCUAGAGUGGGCCACAGAGACUGUAUUGGUUUCUGCCGUUUGCUGCUGGCAUGGCCAAAGAGACUACAGAUUCCUCAGCCGCUCUUAAGUGUGCUCAAUGACACUCCAACAAACAAAGGGACUAUGUGCACUUCCUGCUGCAUUGUUGUUGUUUAGUCGUUUAGUCGUGUCUGACUCUUUGUGGCCCCAUGGACCAGAGCACGCCAGGCACUCCUGUCUUCCACUGUCUCCCGCAGUUUUGUCAAACUUAUGUUAGUAGCUUCGAGAACACUGUCCAACCAUCUCGUCCUCUGUCGUCCCUUUCUCCUUGUGUCCUCCAUCUUUCCCAACAUCAGGGUCUUUUCCAGGGAGUCUUCUCUUCUCAUGAGGUGGCCAAAGUAUUGGAGCCUCAGCUUCAGGAUCUGUCCUUCCAGUGAGCACUCAGGGCUGAUUUCCUUCAGAAUGGAGAGGUUUGAUCUUCUUGCAGUCCAUGGGACUCUCAAGAGUCUCCUCCAGCACCAUAAUUCAAAAGCAUCAAUUCUUCGGCGAUCAGCCUUCUUUAUGGUCCAGCUCUCACUUCCAUACAUCACUACUGGGAAAACCAUAGCUUUAACUAUACGGACCUUUGUUGGCAAGGUGAUGUCUCUGCACACACUUAUUUCAAAACUAAUAUUGGAAUAAGUGAAUAUUUCAUAUUUAAUUAUCACAUUUAUAUCACGCCUUCACUCCAAGGAGCUCCCCUGCCUUCCCCAUUUUAUCCUUGCAACAACCCUGUGAGGCAGGUUGGGCUGAGAGAUCAUGACUGGCCCAAGGUUGCCCAGUGAGCUUCGUGGCUGAGCAGCAAUUUGAACCUGGGUCUCUCCAGUCCUAGUCCAAUGCUCCUACCACUACAUCACACUGGUUGUGCUUGCUGUAACCUGAAUUUUAUUUUUCAGACAUUCUAGCAGAUGUCUCCACUCAAGGUGUCCAAAAAUUCUCUUUAACACCUAGGGAUGGGGGAGAAAUCCUAGGUGGAUCACCUUGAAACCUGUGUAAUUUGCACUUUCUGAAAUAGUAUGCAGACUGAAACAGAGCCAUCCUUCAAAAUUCACACUUCUCUGAAUUUUGCAAUGCAGUUCUCCAGCCAAGUAAUGUGUACACAAAUGCUUAAAAUGCAUAUAUUUACUUUUUUAAAAAAAGGCAUUGUGCAAGGGGAAAGUGCUAUGCAAAAAUGUCUAUAUUGGGCAAAAUCACAUUCAAAGAUGUGUACGUGUGAAGAAAUUUGCAGUAAAAUGCAACUGUGUUUUCAGGAGGACUUCUUUUUAAUUGAAAACUCAUGUGGAGGACUGAACUUGAGAGUGGAAAAAUAAGAAAAGGAGAGAAACCAAAAUUGACAGAUUUGCCCAUUCCUAUUAAUACUGGUGGGAAGAUAGGGACACUCUCACCACUCGGAGAUAGUUUGAUCACCUGGAUGACUCUGAAAGUGUGAUCCUUGAGUAUUUUAAUGUUAUGUGUGUGAGAGAGAGAUGUAUGCAUGUCCACUUAGGCUGCAGUCUUACGUGCAUUUACCUCAGGUUCCAUUGCACUAAGUGAUACUUACUUCUGAGUAAGCUUAUAUAGGUUUGCCCUGUAAGUUUCAGAACUUCUAUGAAGCUAAUGCUAUUAGAGAGACAUUUGAAUUAAUGCUCUGUAAUUUUGUUCCACUGAGAUAAUGUGGGCGUAAGUAGGAUAGAUAGGCUUGUAUUGUAUAUUUUCAGGAGAGGGGAUGAUUGCUUCUCAAGGAAAGGGAUGCCAAUAGAGGAACAUCAAGCAAACAAUAGCUGAAAUGCUUCUUCAUUAUUUGUUCUGGUGUUUUGAAGGCCCACUCAUUUAUCUCAUUCUCCAGUGUUUGUCCUAAAGUUAGGGGGGGCAUUGGGUUGUUGUUUUCUAUUUUGAUUAUAUUUUUUGUGAUUUUAUUUUAUUUUUUAUUCUAUGAACUGUCCUAAGACCUCUGAGUAUAGGGCAGUAUAUAAAUUCAAACAACAGCAACAGCAGCAGCAGCAACAACAACAGAAAGAUGGCUUGUAAAAGCCAUUCGAUCUGAGCUUGGAGCAACCAGAUCAGACAUCUUUACACACUGAACUUCUCAAAUAGACUGAGGUACAACAAUAGGUUUGAUUCCCUAUCUCCUAAGGUGAGGGUGAGUAACCUAGUCUGGCAGAAUGACUUUACGCUAUGGCAUUAACCCCCUCAUGCAUUAAUUAGAGUUAAGCAUGUUGGUUAUAUGAGGUUGGUUAUUCCACAUUCCUUCUCAGAAUCCAUCCCCUAUUCUCUCUUCUUCCCCUCCCUCUUUGUGGAACAAUGUCUUCCAGCUCCUCUUUCCUAGACUGUCUGCUACUUCUUCUGUCCUUCCCUGGGGCUGUGUGGGUCUGCUCUUGUCCUCUGCAGCACAGCUGGACAAACUUCAGACUUGUCAGGUCUCCUUUGCUUUUUCGCUAGAACUCCCAGUUUUACCAACCAGAGCCAGAUGCAGAAGGCAUGAAAGUGAGAAUGAGAAUGAGAGAGACAUAUUCUUACCCUAGGCAUUUCUCCUCAGUACUGGGAUUCAACUGAGCUCACAGUCCUUUCACAGAAAAGUCCACUAUUAGUUAACUUUCUUCCUUUCAACAGGGUAGGAAAACUCACUUUCCUGUUCUUGUUAAGCAAUUCAGAGUCUUGACAUUUGACUGCAAAUCGCUCAGAGAUCUACCAGUAGAUUCCUUCUGUUCUGUAAGAUUCUAGCAAUUCAGACAGCUGCUGGCAGUCAGUAGCCCUCCUGACAUGCCCCACUGCUCUGUGACAUUUGGGAUCCCCAGCCCCUCGCUAGGAGAGACUUCAUUACAUCCACAGUUACCAUAACCAUAAAUUGUGCAAUUCUGCUCAGGGUCAAAUGAUGGUUUCUCUCAGAAUUAAGGCAGGAGUAUUAAACCUACUAUACAUGUGGAAGUAUGAAGAAUUACUCUCAAAACCAUAAACAUCAGAUCCUUUCUGUCAUGUCUUUUACAAUUUGUUUAUAUAAUAGAAGCCCGAAGAAGCGUCUCCACCCCCAUCAUUCUGCCUGG